This 2903-nucleotide ribosomal RNA is filed under the name Salmonella enterica subsp. enterica serovar Minnesota. Its description in RNAcentral is "23S ribosomal RNA". It matches the Rfam family "Bacterial large subunit ribosomal RNA". Lineage: Bacteria; Pseudomonadati; Pseudomonadota; Gammaproteobacteria; Enterobacterales; Enterobacteriaceae. The record is from RNAcentral.
GGUUAAGCGACUAAGCGUACACGGUGGAUGCCCUGGCAGUCAGAGGCGAUGAAGGACGUGCUAAUCUGCGAUAAGCGCCGGUAAGGUGAUAUGAACCGUUAUAACCGGCGAUUUCCGAAUGGGGAAACCCAGUGUGACUCGUCACACUAUCAUUAACUGAAUCCAUAGGUUAAUGAGGCGAACCGGGGGAACUGAAACAUCUAAGUACCCCGAGGAAAAGAAAUCAACCGAGAUUCCCCCAGUAGCGGCGAGCGAACGGGGAGGAGCCCAGAGCCUGAAUCAGCAUGUGUGUUAGUGGAAGCGUCUGGAAAGGCGCGCGAUACAGGGUGACAGCCCCGUACACAAAAGCGCAUGUGCUGUGAGCUCGAUGAGUAGGGCGGGACACGUGGUAUCCUGUCUGAAUAUGGGGGGACCAUCCUCCAAGGCUAAAUACUCCUGACUGACCGAUAGUGAACCAGUACCGUGAGGGAAAGGCGAAAAGAACCCCGGCGAGGGGAGUGAAAAAGAACCUGAAACCGUGUACGUACAAGCAGUGGGAGCACCCUUUGGGGUGUGACUGCGUACCUUUUGUAUAAUGGGUCAGCGACUUAUAUUCUGUAGCAAGGUUAACCGAAUAGGGGAGCCGGAGGGAAACCGAGUCUUAACCGGGCGUUAAGUUGCAGGGUAUAGACCCGAAACCCGGUGAUCUAGCCAUGGGCAGGUUGAAGGUUGGGUAACACUAACUGGAGGACCGAACCGACUAAUGUUGAAAAAUUAGCGGAUGACCUGUGGCUGGGGGUGAAAGGCCAAUCAAACCGGGAGAUAGCUGGUUCUCCCCGAAAGCUAUUUAGGUAGCGCCUCGUGAAUUCAUCUCCGGGGGUAGAGCACUGUUUCGGCUAGGGGGCCAUCCCGGCUUACCAACCCGAUGCAAACUGCGAAUACCGGAGAAUGUUAUCACGGGAGACACACGGCGGGUGCUAACGUCCGUCGUGAAGAGGGAAACAACCCAGACCGCCAGCUAAGGUCCCAAAGUCAUGGUUAAGUGGGAAACGAUGUGGGAAGGCCCAGACAGCCAGGAUGUUGGCUUAGAAGCAGCCAUCAUUUAAAGAAAGCGUAAUAGCUCACUGGUCGAGUCGGCCUGCGCGGAAGAUGUAACGGGGCUAAACCAUGCACCGAAGCUGCGGCAGCGACACUAUGUGUUGUUGGGUAGGGGAGCGUUCUGUAAGCCUGUGAAGGUGGCCUGUGAGGGUUGCUGGAGGUAUCAGAAGUGCGAAUGCUGACAUAAGUAACGAUAAAGCGGGUGAAAAGCCCGCUCGCCGGAAGACCAAGGGUUCCUGUCCAACGUUAAUCGGGGCAGGGUGAGUCGACCCCUAAGGCGAGGCCGAAAGGCGUAGUCGAUGGGAAACGGGUUAAUAUUCCCGUACUUGGUGUUACUGCGAAGGGGGGACGGAGAAGGCUAUGUUGGCCGGGCGACGGUUGUCCCGGUUUAAGCGUGUAGGCUGGUUUUCCAGGCAAAUCCGGAAAAUCAAGGCUGAGGCGUGACGACGAGGCACUACGGUGCUGAAGCAACAAAUGCCCUGCUUCCAGGAAAAGCCUCUAAGCAUCAGGUAACAUCAAAUCGUACCCCAAACCGACACAGGUGGUCAGGUAGAGAAUACCAAGGCGCUUGAGAGAACUCGGGUGAAGGAACUAGGCAAAAUGGUGCCGUAACUUCGGGAGAAGGCACGCUGACACGUAGGUGAAGUGAUUUACUCAUGGAGCUGAAGUCAGUCGAAGAUACCAGCUGGCUGCAACUGUUUAUUAAAAACACAGCACUGUGCAAACACGAAAGUGGACGUAUACGGUGUGACGCCUGCCCGGUGCCGGAAGGUUAAUUGAUGGGGUCAGCGCAAGCGAAGCUCCUGAUCGAAGCCCCGGUAAACGGCGGCCGUAACUAUAACGGUCCUAAGGUAGCGAAAUUCCUUGUCGGGUAAGUUCCGACCUGCACGAAUGGCGUAAUGAUGGCCAGGCUGUCUCCACCCGAGACUCAGUGAAAUUGAACUCGCUGUGAAGAUGCAGUGUACCCGCGGCAAGACGGAAAGACCCCGUGAACCUUUACUAUAGCUUGACACUGAACAUUGAGCCUUGAUGUGUAGGAUAGGUGGGAGGCUUUGAAGUGUGGACGCCAGUCUGCAUGGAGCCGACCUUGAAAUACCACCCUUUAAUGUUUGAUGUUCUAACGUGGACCCGUGAUCCGGGUUGCGGACAGUGUCUGGUGGGUAGUUUGACUGGGGCGGUCUCCUCCUAAAGAGUAACGGAGGAGCACGAAGGUUGGCUAAUCCUGGUCGGACAUCAGGAGGUUAGUGCAAUGGCAUAAGCCAGCUUGACUGCGAGCGUGACGGCGCGAGCAGGUGCGAAAGCAGGUCAUAGUGAUCCGGUGGUUCUGAAUGGAAGGGCCAUCGCUCAACGGAUAAAAGGUACUCCGGGGAUAACAGGCUGAUACCGCCCAAGAGUUCAUAUCGACGGCGGUGUUUGGCACCUCGAUGUCGGCUCAUCACAUCCUGGGGCUGAAGUAGGUCCCAAGGGUAUGGCUGUUCGCCAUUUAAAGUGGUACGCGAGCUGGGUUUAGAACGUCGUGAGACAGUUCGGUCCCUAUCUGCCGUGGGCGCUGGAGAACUGAGGGGGGCUGCUCCUAGUACGAGAGGACCGGAGUGGACGCAUCACUGGUGUUCGGGUUGUCAUGCCAAUGGCACUGCCCGGUAGCUAAAUGCGGAAGAGAUAAGUGCUGAAAGCAUCUAAGCACGAAACUUGCCCCGAGAUGAGUUCUCCCUGAGACUUUAGGUCUCCUGAAGGAACGUUGAAGACGACGACGUUGAUAGGCCGGGUGUGUAAGCGCAGCGAUGCGUUGAGCUAACCGGUACUAAUGAACCGUGAGGCUUAACCUU